GGCUGAUCCCACUUUCUCUUUUUCCUUUGCCUCGAUUGUGAAGCAUCUGUGUUCGCAGUGGACUCUUCCGAGGAAGCCCUAGUGCUAGUCUCCUCUGUCAUGAUGUUUUUUCUUGGUAUAUUAGGUUUCCGCCCGAAAAUUUUGAAGUUUUUUUUUUCUCUUUUAUAGGUGGCGGCGGUGGAAGAGGAAUCCGGGGAGAGGAGGUGGCGCGGUGAAUUCUUUUACCUAUUCGUGGUAGAGUGGCAUUGGGUGUGGGACUCGUGAGAGGUGUAGACGUAUGGACAGCCAAUUGCUGUACGACUCGUUGAGGACAGAAGAAUUA
RNAcentral lists this unclassified non-coding RNA (322 nucleotides) under Hevea brasiliensis (rubber tree). Lineage: Eukaryota; Viridiplantae; Streptophyta; Magnoliopsida; Malpighiales; Euphorbiaceae. The record is from RNAcentral.